CCCCUAGAUGUUCUGGGCCGCACGCGCGCUACACUGAUGCAUUCAACAAGCCUAGCCUUGACCGAGAGGUCCGGGUAAUCUUUGAAACUGCAUCGUGAUGGGGCUAGAUUAUUGCAAUUAUUAAUCUUCAACGAGGAAUGCCUAGUAAGCGUGAUUCAUCAAAUCGCGUUGAUUACGUCCCUGCCCUUUGUACACACCGCCCGUCGCACCUACCGAUUGAAUGGUCCGGUGAAGCCUCCGGAUUGGCGCGCACCUCGGUGCCGCCGAGAAGUUGGCUAAACCUUACCAUUUAGAGGAAGGUGAAGUCGUAACA
This 313-nucleotide ribosomal RNA is filed under the name uncultured eukaryote. Its description in RNAcentral is "partial 18S ribosomal RNA". It matches the Rfam family "Eukaryotic small subunit ribosomal RNA", at positions 1470 to 1796 of the family's 1831-position model. The record is from RNAcentral.